Molecule: unclassified non-coding RNA, 605 nt
Filed under: Hevea brasiliensis (rubber tree)
Lineage: Eukaryota; Viridiplantae; Streptophyta; Magnoliopsida; Malpighiales; Euphorbiaceae
Source: RNAcentral
GGUACUCUUAGAACAGUGAUUGUAAGAUUCACGAACAAAAAUGAAACAAGGAUUAAAAAAAGGCGCUAACAGGACGGCAACUACUUCAGUCCAAGCCUCAAAAGUGAAGUUGAGGCCCAUCAUGCUGCAAAAGGCUCAACAUUUAGAUGAGGAGCUUCUCAAUGGCAUCCUUUAGUUGCUGUAUUUGAGAUUUCAACUGGCUUCCCUCGUUGCUUGUCACUGAACAAGCAAUGACGGGGCGGGUAACACCACAUGCUCGCCCAAGAGCUUGCUUUGAAGGGACAAAGACAUAGGGCACAUUCUUAUCUUCGGCAAGGAGUGGAAGGUGAAGAAGGAUUUCAAGGGGCUCAGUAUCUGCGGCCAUGACAACAAAUUCUGAAAUUCCUCUGUUGAGUGUCUUUGUAGCUUCAUUAGCACCCUUCUUAAGCUGCUUAUAAUUAGCAGCUUGUUGAACCAAAUCCAUUAUCGUCGUUGUAAGCUGUGAAUCAGCAAGUGGGUAUGCUUUUGGGUUCACAGUUUCCGUUGCCAUGGCAGCCGCGAGUUGAGAGAACUGUGAGAAGAAGUUUAGGGUUUAGGUGAAGAAGAUGCUCCAGCUUGCUGCUGCU